GACGUAGGGCGCGAGCGUUGUCCGGAUUUAUUGGGCGUAAAGAGCUCGUAGGCGGCUUGUUGCGUCGGCCGUGAAAACCCAUGGCUUAACCGUGGGCUUGCAGCCGAUACGGGCAGGCUAGAGUUCGGUAGGGGAGACUGGAAUUCCUGGUGUAGCGGUGAAAUGCGCAGAUAUCAGGAGGAACACCGGUGGCGAAGGCGGGUCUCUGGGCCGAUACUGACGCUGAGGAGCGAAAGCGUGGGGAGCGAACAGG
Molecule: ribosomal RNA, 253 nt
Filed under: uncultured bacterium
Lineage: Bacteria
Description: partial 16S ribosomal RNA
Rfam family: Bacterial small subunit ribosomal RNA
Source: RNAcentral